AGGCUGCAACUCGCCUGCAUGAAGUCGGAAUUGCUAGUAAUCGCAGAUCAGCAUGCUGCGGUGAAUACGUUCCCGGGCCCUUGUACACACCGCCCGUCACACCAUGGGAGUCGGUAACACCCGAAGUCGGUAGCCUAACCGUAAGGAGGGCGCCGCCGAAGGUGGGAUUGAUGACUGGGGUGAAGUCGUAACAAGGUAAC
This 200-nucleotide ribosomal RNA is filed under the name uncultured bacterium. RNAcentral's name for it is "partial 16S ribosomal RNA". It matches the Rfam family "Bacterial small subunit ribosomal RNA", at positions 1302 to 1500 of the family's 1533-position model. The record is from RNAcentral.